Molecule: ribosomal RNA, 497 nt
Filed under: uncultured bacterium
Lineage: Bacteria
Description: partial 16S ribosomal RNA
Rfam family: Bacterial small subunit ribosomal RNA
Source: RNAcentral
GAUGAACGCUGGCGGCGUGCCUAAUACAUGCAAGUCGAGCGAACAGAUGAGGAACUUGCUCCUCUGACGUUAGCGGCGGACGGGUGAGUAACACGUGGAUAACCUACCUAUAAGACUGGGAUAACUUCGGGAAACCGGAGCUAAUACCGGAUAAUAUAUUGAACCGCAUGGUUCAAUAGUGAAAGACGGUUUUGCUGUCACUUAUAGAUGGAUCCGCGCCGCAUUAGCUAGUUGGUAAGGUAACGGCUUACCAAGGCGACGAUGCGUAGCCGACCUGAGAGGGUGAUCGGCCACACUGGAACUGAGACACGGUCCAGACUCCUACGGGAGGCAGCAGUAGGGAAUCUUCCGCAAUGGGCGAAAGCCUGACGGAGCAACGCCGCGUGAGUGAUGAAGGUCUUCGGAUCGUAAAACUCUGUUAUUAGGGAAGAACAAAUGUGUAAGUAACUAUGCACGUCUUGACGGUACCUAAUCAGAAAGCCACGGCUAACUACGUG